Molecule: non-coding RNA, 4257 nt
Organism: Cricetulus griseus (Chinese hamster)
Lineage: Eukaryota; Metazoa; Chordata; Mammalia; Rodentia; Cricetidae
Source: RefSeq, a predicted model, not a curated record
CCUGGACCGGGCUGCGAACCCGACGUGGGGCUGACCCGACCCUGAGCCUUGUUUAGAGCCAGAGUCCCGACUGAGAUCCAGGGCCGAUGGGUUCCUUCCUGGCUCCUACCUCUACGCACGGUUUGAACCGAUACUCCGUGUAAGCGAAGUCCUGACUGGGAGUUGAGCUCAGUCAGGAAACCAGGACUUAUUUCUAACGGUCAGUGAGAUGUGAAUCGAGACUCGGAGCAAAAAUCUUGUCAGCCAAAGACCCGAUCCCGCCUGGGACUAAGCAGGAAUGGGGUGGGAUGGGGGAUCCCGAAGCACAGGUAAGUCUACAACUCGAGCAAGGUAAAGCCAGCUGGCGUUGAAAUCAGACCGUGAACCCGAUCUGAUGGCUCGGCUUCAGAUGUGCUUCGGGUCGGUGGUUUUACGAGCUCCUUGCUGCGUCUUCCCUUAAAAGUGACGGGGCAGGAACCGGAAUCUGGGAUCUCUCAGCUAGAUAAAAGUACGUAUUCAAUCUUAACCCGUGAGUGGUUGGAAGUCAUUGUGCAGUCAGAUGUGAGAGCUCCAGCCUGGAAUGAAAACGGGAAAGGGCAUGCUAAGGAAAAGGUUUCGGUUUCUCUGUGAAGCAAGAUCUAUUUCCCAUCCAUUUCCUGAACGUAAAAAUUGCGCUGGGUUAAGACCGUGUGAUCGCAUCAGCCCCUACACAACAGUGCUGAAACUGUUUCUGUUUCUUUGGGCACCCGAAUUUGACAAAAAGGGAAACGGCUAGAAGGGAAGUGGGAUGAUGUAAGAAAAUAGGGGUAAACUCGAGGAGAAUGGAAUGGGAUUGUCAAGGUAUGGUCACUGUCGAACGUUAAUCCAAUUGCAUCCACAACCAAGCAGGAUGGUGAGGGACAUACAGGUCCGAAGAAAUCUGGGUGAAUGGAAACGUGUUUUUCCUUACUGUUCUUAUACUUUAGUGGAGGUGCCAGCUGCGAAGGUGAAGUCUAAACUGAAGGGGAAGUAACUUUGAGGGGAUUGUUGAAAUUACUGAUGAGAACGAUGCUUUCUUGACACCAAUUAAUAUAGGCAACAAUACCCUGUCAGUUCUUUGAUGUAUGUUUUCUCAGAUGAGGAGAGGAUCCAUGUCGGCCCUGCAAACAUCAGUUUCUUCUGCUUGCUUCUGGUUUCAGUACUGUUUUACAAUUUCAUUAGUAAAGUGGAUGAGGAAAUAGGCAAAGUGCUCCUGAAGCUUUGUGAAUGGCGUUGGGUUGUGGUGAGGAAAUGGAGAAAGUGCUCCUGAAGCCUGUGAAUGAAGUUGAGUUGGCUAGUGCCUCAGCACAUUACAGGAUAACUCCUAACAAGAGCCAUACCCACUGAAAAAUGUGGUUAAGUGCACCUGACUGAGGUACACGUUAGCAUUUUAAAUGUCUUUGUCAACAGAGAGAAUUAGACCAUGAACUGAUUUGUGGCUUGUUCAUUGUGUAGGAGCUUUAGCCAGACAACUUGCUGUGUCUUCCCUUCAAAGAAAUAAUAAAGCCUGUGUGAGCAGAAUAACUGGUGAAAUAAUAAUUGUAAAACAAACAUAGAAAUAAGUGAUUCAGACAUUUGUGAAAUAGACUGUAGGUUGAAUGUCUUAAGUCAAUGAAUGCUACUAACUCAUUCAAAAGUUAGUAAAAUCUAGCUGCAGAGUAACCUCUCUCUCUUGAUUUUUCCAGACAGACAGGGUUUCUCUGUGUAGCUUGGAGCCUGUCCUGAAUCUGUAGGCCAGGCUGGCCUCUAACUCACUGCUGGCAGCCUCUUUCUCUUAACUGCAAGUACAGCACAGAAUCUAGGGUGCUAUGUUUCAGGAUAAGUAUCAGAUGGAAAACAGAUCAGAGAAAGCAAUGAAAAUUAUUUAAUGGGAUGGAAAAUGCAUUGUUAUAAUAUGACCAACUUCAAAAUAUUCCUGGGAUUGGGGAAAUGGCUAGCACCCACAUAAAAAUCUGGGCAUGGUGGUGCACAUCUGUAACCCCAUUGAUGGGAAGGUAGAGACAGGCAGACCCUUGGAGCUCACCACAUAGCCAAUGUAGCCAAAUCCGUGAGUUCCAGGUUGUAAGAGUCCCUGUCUCAAAAGAUAAUAAGGUGGCUCAGUGCGGUGGUACUCAGGAGGUAGAUCUGUGAGUUUGAGGCCAGCAUUGUCUAUGUAAUAAGGGAUUCCUGCCAGGGUCCCACGAUGGAAUCCCGAAACAAGACUCUGUCUCAAUAAACAAACAAGGUGGAAAGUGGUUGAGGAAGAUAUCCAAGAUGGAUCUGCCCCCCCCCCCCCCACAUACACACUUCACAUAUCCAUAUAAACAUGUACUGGUGCCACACAGAAAGGGAAGAAAAAGGGUGUUACUACUACCUAUCAGUUUGACAGUUGUAUUAUGUUACAAAAUAUCAGGAGACUCUCCUUACUCUAUAAUGCUGCUUUGCUUGUAAACAUGAUUAUAAAUUUCCUUGUUAGAAAUGCUUCUAGAGCUGGGCAGUGUGGCGUAUGCCUUUAAUCCCAGCACUACAGAGGCAGAGGCAGGAGGAGAGGCCAGCCUAGUCUACAGAGCAAGUUACAGGACAGUUAGGCUACACAGAGAAAUCCUGUUUUGAAAACAAUAAAUGCCUCUAGAAUAUCCUUAAUGGGGGCAAAUCUUUGUCCUAUGACAAGACUCGACAGAGACCACAGAGUCAAAUAUGGCUCGUUAGACUGGGCCAUACUGCUUGCUUGCAGACACAAGGAGGGCCUGGCAAACAAAUCCCUGAUUUACUUCUAAGACUUGUAAAUUGAGGAGACACAGGAGAAGGGAGUUGCAAAGGUGUGUUGCAUAACCAGUAAGUUAUGUCUAGGCUACCAAGGUUAACUAUUUUGAUUAACAGUUCCUAAUCACCUGAAUAUGUUUUAGGAUUUGCAUUUUUAAAGACUUGACAAUACAGUAUUUCAGUCUUGCCUCUAAACCCUGCACUAAAGAAUUGGUUAUUUGAUUUGAAGAACAAAUGCCUAAGAGUCUUAAAAAAUGCAAAGGCUUAUCUUAGAAAAAUCAUUUCUCCUUGUUCUUAAUGCUGGGAAUCAAAUAAUGAGAAGGUGGCCUGGUGUGAGUUAGUGUCCCACUGUGUAAUGUUUUUGUGCAGGUGUGAAUGUAACUCAAAUCCCUUCUCUUAGAAAGGGCUUCCUGGUUUGUUUAUCUCCUGGCAGCUUUUCCAUGGGUGAUGAAGAGGAAAAGCAGCCCAACCCACCCCUAAGACUAGACUGGAGACAGGUGUCAGUGUUGGAGUCUAAAGGGAUACCACAGUGUUUGCAAAUGAAUGCCGACAUUGUCUCUUGGCAUUCAGGCCUGUGUCUUCCUAGCCACUUACCAGGGUCAAGUUGACUUAAAAUAUCCUUGGGAAGGACCAUGGGAAGUCAACAUAGCCCUGCUAGGCCAUGGUUAUCAAGCCUGCCAUUCCCAUGAUCAUAAUAGGGAGCCUUGGAAAUCCAGAUAAAUCACAGUUUCCUUUUCUAGGCUUCAGAGGCAAGCAGCAGACUUUGUAGGGACAGGCUCUGAAACCCAGAACAGCCGCAGAACCAUUCUGAGUCGUCUGGCUGCUUCCCCUGUGCGAGGGACCAUCUGGGGCUCUGCAGUGGAAAAGCAGGUUUAUUAUUUUUCAAACUGCAUAUAAUGUGUUUGUGUCGGGGGAAGAGUAUGUCCACAUGGAUUCCAGAAGAAGGCAUUGGAUUCCCUGGAGCUGGAAUUACAGUUAUAAGCCACCCAACAUGGGUAACUGGAAACGGACUUUGGGUCCUCUGAAAGCGCAGUACAUCUCUCCAGCGCUUGUGCGCAUAUGUUUGUGUGUGUGGGGAGGGGGAAGGGGGGGUUGAGCAUGUCUAUAGCACACUUGUGGAGAUCAGUUCUUUCCACCGUAUCCAUUCCAAGGGUGAAACUCAGCUGGUCAGCAUUGGUGGCAAGUGACUUUACUCACUGAGGCAUCUCACUUGUUCGGAUUUCCCAAAUUUUUGUAAACUUUGUGGAUAUUCUACAAGAGUUUACUACCCACACUUUCAUCCCAGUCAUUAAUCUUCAAAGGGUUGUAUUUUGUGAAGACUGGUUUUAUUUGCCAAGGCCAUUUUGAGGAUCCAGUCGAUUUAGAUAAGUCUGAAUGGUCCUUCAAUUUUAAAGGUUAGUUUGGUUUUCCCAUCUCCACAGUUUGGGGCCAGGGUCUCUCCCAAGAGGCAUCUGUUUGGAAUGCUAUUUCUAUCAAGACUUUAACAUGUGGACCCAGCUGCCAAAGCCAAAUGGUCUG